RNAcentral lists this unclassified non-coding RNA (253 nucleotides) under uncultured Gammaproteobacteria bacterium. RNAcentral describes it as "contains 16S-23S intergenic spacer region". It matches the Rfam family "Bacterial small subunit ribosomal RNA", at positions 524 to 776 of the family's 1533-position model. The record is from RNAcentral. Lineage: Bacteria; Pseudomonadati; Pseudomonadota; Gammaproteobacteria.
UACGGAGGGUGCAAGCGUUAAUCGGAAUUACUGGGCGUAAAGCGCGCGUAGGCGGUUCGGUAAGUCGGGUGUGAAAGCCCCGGGCUCAACCUGGGAAUUGCAUUCGAUACUGCUGGACUAGAGUCUGGUAGAGGGUGGCGGAACUCCCGGUGUAGCGGUGAAAUGCGUAGAUAUCGGGAAGAACACCAGUGGCGAAGGCGGUCACCCGGACCAAGACUGACGCUGAGGUGCGAAAGCGUGGGGAGCAAACAGG